Molecule: long non-coding RNA, 787 nt
Organism: Esox lucius (northern pike)
Lineage: Eukaryota; Metazoa; Chordata; Actinopteri; Esociformes; Esocidae
Source: Ensembl
AAAAUGGUGAACAAAGUCUGUAUCCACAAUAGUUAAAACAUUCUUAAAACGGACAUCCGGGAUUCCAGGGUCAAAGAGGCAGAGCUGUAGACGUCGGUACUGUCUCUUUAAAGGUGGGCACAAACUAGCAGAGUACAAAGCUGGGCUCGCUUACUGAAGUCGCAGUCUUCCGUCUUGCGUCGCCAGUCUCUCUUGACGGGGGAGAGAAGAGAGGAAGAGAGAGCACCCCAGAUCGGCCUUUUACAAGACUUGAUUUGACAGAGCGCAUAAAACAGAAAUCGAGACUCAUCAGACCAGGCAACAUUCUUCCAGUCUUCAACUGUCCAAUUUUGGUUAUUACGUUUUCAGUAGUUUUGUUCCCGGAGGAGGAUGACUGUGUGCAGCAGUUUCCACGCCAGGAUGGAGCAAGCACAAUACUCCAAGGCACCAGAGAGGUACUCCACACCACCAUGUAGAGGAUAGCUACAUAGGGCAAGAAGGCAGAGGUAGGGGAAGUCUUAGCUCUGUACAUGAAGAUUACAGUCAGGGAUGACAACACACCUCUUUGAACAACAUUCGGGAGGCUGUGGUUGCUGCUUCAGCGAAAGUUGAUCGUGAACAGAUCAAGAAACUGACAGACUGCAUGGAUGGAAGGCUCAUGGCAGUUAUUGAAAAGAAGGGUGGCUAUAUUGGUCAGUGAAUAUUUUUGAAAGGCCAGAAAUUUAAUUUUCAUUUUGUGUUACUUAUUUGUUGCACUUACUCUAAACAUUGAGAAUAAACAAGUGAGUUGGAGAAAUAAUUUUUGUAA